RNAcentral lists this ribosomal RNA (455 nucleotides) under uncultured fungus. RNAcentral describes it as "SSU rRNA". It matches the Rfam family "Eukaryotic small subunit ribosomal RNA", at positions 624 to 1083 of the family's 1831-position model. The record is from RNAcentral. Lineage: Eukaryota; Fungi.
AAGCUCGUAGUAGAAGCUCGGGCUCCGGCCGACCGGUCCGCCUCACCGCGUGCACUGGUUCGGCCGGGCCUUCACCUUCUGCGGAACCGCAUCCCCUUCACUGGGGGUGUCGGGGAAACAGGACGUUUACUGUGAAAAAAUUAGAGUGCUCCAGGCAGGCCUAUGCUCGAAUAGAUUAGCAUGGAAUAAUGGAAUAGGACGUGUGGUCUUAUUUCGUUGGUUUCUAGGACCGCCGUAAUGAUUAAUAGGGACAGUCGGGGGCAUCAGUAUUCAAUCGUCAGAGGUGAAAUUCUUGGAUCGAUUGAAGACUAACUACUGCGAAAGCAUUUGCCAAGGAUGUUUUCAUUUAUCAGGAACGAAAGUUAGGGGAUCGAAGACGAUCAGAUACCGUCGUAGUCUUAACCAUAAACUAUGCCGACUAGGGAUCGGACGGUGUUAUUUCUUGACCCGUUCGG